AUUGAACGCUGGCGGCAUGCCUUACACAUGCAAGUCGAACGGUAACAGGUUAAGCUGACGAGUGGCGAACGGGUGAGUAAUAUAUCGGAACGUGCCCAGUCGUGGGGGAUAACGUAGCGAAAGCUACGCUAAUACCGCAUACGAUCUACGGAUGAAAGCGGGGGAUCGCAAGACCUCGCGCGAUUGGAGCGGCCGAUAUCAGAUUAGGUUGUUGGUGAGGUAAAAGCUCACCAAGCCUGCGAUCUGUAGCUGGUCUGAGAGAACGACCAGCCACACUGGACCUGAGACACGGUCCAGACUCCUACGGGAGGCAGCAGUGGGGAAUUUUGGACAAUGGACGCAAGUCUGAUCCAGCAAUGCCGCGUGCAGGACGAAGGCCUUCGGGUUGUAAACUGCUUUUGUACGGAACGAAACGGUGAGCUCUAAUACAGUUUGCUAAUGACGGUACCGUAAGAAUAAGCACCGGCUAACUACGUGCCAGCAGCCGCCGUAA
RNAcentral lists this ribosomal RNA (493 nucleotides) under uncultured bacterium. RNAcentral describes it as "partial 16S ribosomal RNA". It matches the Rfam family "Bacterial small subunit ribosomal RNA", at positions 30 to 523 of the family's 1533-position model. The record is from RNAcentral.